AUUGGUCGAUUCGCCGCGGACCCGCGCGAACGAUGAAAAAAAAAUGAGCAUCCAAAGAUAGACGGCAGCCAAUCGGAGAGCCGAUUGAAUAACUUCGCGUUCGAAUAUUUCUUACGAAACUGCAGAUGCAAUUCGCUACUCUCCGAAACAUGAGGUAACCAGAGAAUCCUCCGUCGUAGAAUUUGAAAUCGAACAAAAAGCGAAAAACCAGAGGAGACGAACGAUUGAGAAAACGAAUGUUACGAGGUUUUAUACCUGGAACUUGAAAAGUGAAUUUGAAUGUUCAAAAUUGGCGGCGAUUCAACUACAUCGACGACCUCUGCGUUCGAAAUUAGAUUAGUCCGAUCGUGUGUAUCAAUGUUUUGAUCCCAUGGAUCGAAAUCGCACAAAAAUUGUGAGAACUUUGAAGUUUUUUCUCACGUUAUGUCCGUGAAUUGAUGACGUGUCUUUCACGUCGUUUCGAUUGUCAAAUAAAUUUUCAACAAUGUUCCGACUCAUGGUGAACGUGUUUUCGAAACGCGUUCAAAAUUGUCGCGAGAAACCACGUCCGUUGAAAUUUUCGAAACAAACACUCCAAGCAUAACGAAAUAGGUAUUUGUACGUUAUGGAUAACUCACCUGGCCAGUACCCACGGCCUUUUCGGAUGAAAGGACAAGCCCUUAACGCGGGCAGAUUUCGUUUCGAACUUGGUCAACAUUUUGUCGCGUUAUCCUCGAACAAUCAAGUGUUAAUGAGAUCGCAUUAUAUUCAAGUAUGUUGCGACGUCCCAAUUUUGAGGAACACCCUCGACACGUCACUGUACAAUACUCGACGGAAUGGCUGCCGAGAAAUGAAGCUGAAACUCGAUUUGUCGGAAAGCUUGGAGCAUUUGCCUCAAAGCGCCCCAACAUUUGUUAGGUCGUCCGACAACCGAACUGGUGCCGUUUGACAACCUAAAAGCAACCUUCGCUAUCGACGGAUAAGGUUGCCCCGACGUGGUUUGAAUUUUUUUCACAAGAUGGCCGCCGACUUGACCCGAAAGCUUUCAAAUAAGUGCGGGACAUUUGCCGCCAGGGUACCUGCAGUUUAAAAACAGGUAAGUAUGUAAGUAAAAUCUAAUUGAAUGGUGAUGAUUAUCUCAAAGGAUUGUAGAAUAAUUUACUAUUAUAUCCGAUAUGCUACAGAAUGUAUUUAAAUACAAUAUAUCAAUGAAAUAAUGACACCAGAAACUGUACAUUUUUUAAGAUUCUUAAUUCUUCUUUUUUUCCCUCCCAAUUGCUCUUGUGAACCACCAUGACGAUACUUGGCA
Athalia rosae (coleseed sawfly) is the source of this 1288-nucleotide long non-coding RNA. RefSeq lists it as uncharacterized. NCBI's taxonomy places the organism in Eukaryota, Metazoa, Arthropoda, Insecta, Hymenoptera, Athaliidae. The transcript is spliced from 2 exons. The record is from RefSeq and is a predicted model, not a curated record.